UGGAGGGCUCCAGUCCCAGUCUGGGUCUGCGGGCAGGCCAUCACAACCCAUGAAGUCCCUCAGGAUGGAUCUGGGGUAACCCGGCUCCACACGGAGCAGCUGGUUGUUGAACUUCCAGUACUCCUUCCCCUUAUAAAAAUUGAUCACAAGUGCCUGAAGCAGUGGGGAGAGUGGCUGUAGUGCAGCUGAGAAGUAAACAGAAAGACACACACACACACACACAAGUCCUUGUGAGUGAGUGAAUAAAUGAAGCACGAGGCUCUGAUUCCUCCAAGUGACAGAUGUCAUGUUAAUAUGCCUGAUGGACGGAUGUUUGUACCAGACGAGAACCCGUUCUGUUACCGUACUGAAAAUAGCCUGAAUGUCGCCCACUAUAAUGUAAUAAAAAAUGGUUAAGAAAUAUAUCACCUCAUCUCAGAAGACUUCACACCUACUUUAUUUCUGAUGUGUGUUUUCCAAGAAAAAUAUACAAUGCUGUACUGUGUGA
This is a long non-coding RNA of Cynoglossus semilaevis (tongue sole), 487 nucleotides long. RefSeq lists it as uncharacterized. The record is from RefSeq and is a predicted model, not a curated record. The transcript is spliced from 2 exons. NCBI's taxonomy places the organism in Eukaryota, Metazoa, Chordata, Actinopteri, Pleuronectiformes, Cynoglossidae.